AUCCAGCUGACGAGUCCUAAAUAGGACAAAACGCACGUCCUGGAU
This 45-nucleotide non-coding RNA is filed under the name Schistosoma mattheei. Lineage: Eukaryota; Metazoa; Platyhelminthes; Trematoda; Strigeidida; Schistosomatidae. The record is from RNAcentral.